This 253-nucleotide ribosomal RNA is filed under the name uncultured bacterium. Its description in RNAcentral is "partial 16S ribosomal RNA". It matches the Rfam family "Bacterial small subunit ribosomal RNA", at positions 524 to 776 of the family's 1533-position model. The record is from RNAcentral.
UACGAAGGGGGCUAGCGUUGUUCGGAAUUACUGGGCGUAAAGCGCGUGUAGGCGGGUCUUUAAGUCAGGGGUGAAAUGCCAGGGCUCAACCUUGGAACUGCCUUUGAUACUGGAGACCUUGAGUCCGGGAGAGGUGAGUGGAAUUGCGAGUGUAGAGGUGAAAUUCGUAGAUAUUCGCAAGAACACCAGUGGCGAAGGCGGCUCACUGGCCCGGUACUGACGCUGAGGUGCGAAAGCGUGGGGAGUAAACAGG